UACAGAGGUCUCAAGCGUUGUUCGGAUUCAUUGGGCGUAAAGGGUGUGUAGGUGGCGCCGUAAGUCGGGUGUGAAAUUUCGAGGCUUAACCUCGAAACUGCAUUCGAUACUGCGGUGCUUGAGGACUGGAGAGGAGACUGGAAUUCAUGGUGUAGCAGUGAAAUGCGUAGAUAUCGUAAGGAAGACCAGUGGCGAAGGCGGGUCUCUGGACAGUUCCUGACGCUGAGGCACGAAGGUCAGGGGAGCAAACGGG
Molecule: ribosomal RNA, 253 nt
Filed under: uncultured bacterium
Lineage: Bacteria
Description: partial 16S ribosomal RNA
Rfam family: Bacterial small subunit ribosomal RNA
Source: RNAcentral